AAUAUUCUACAUAGACUUCUGCUUUUUGGGCUUUACUAAUGUCUGAUAUCUUGCACAAGUUUUUCACCACAAACAUCAGCAUUUCCUUCUGUUAAGUCCCUGGAAAGUGCACCAGAUCAUUAUCAAGUAAUACAAAACGGUUAAGUCCGAGUAUUGUUUCCCAAAGGACUCUUAGGCCUUAACUUUCAUGUUAACUAAUCGCAUCAGACUUGAAAAGAAAUUAAUUUUAGGUUUUGGAUGCAGAACGAAAAUAAACAUGCAAAAUGUAGUGAAUCAAUUGGCUUGAAAAGACUAUGGAUGAAUGGAGUUGUUGGGGUUUACAAUUUCAUCUUAUCCACCCUCUUAUAUCUACUCUUCUUAUUUAAUUCACUUAUUUAUCAUAUGUUCAUGCAAACAUUCUUAGUCUACCCUAAACGCAAUCUCUUAGCGAAAAGAGCCUAUUACUAAUUACUGGCUUGCUAUCUCUAGCCUCCCCUAGUAACUAGCAAUGCAUGAUAAACGGAAGCAAAAUACAAUUGAUCGUCCUACCCCUAUCUCUAAGCUAUAUUAGCAUAAUCAAGGAAUUCCCC
This 569-nucleotide long non-coding RNA is filed under the name Vigna radiata. RNAcentral describes it as "long non-coding RNA (VRAD_LNC001052)". The record is from RNAcentral. Lineage: Eukaryota; Viridiplantae; Streptophyta; Magnoliopsida; Fabales; Fabaceae.